RNAcentral lists this ribosomal RNA (582 nucleotides) under uncultured bacterium. RNAcentral describes it as "bacterial SSU rRNA". The stretch from base 11 to 459 matches the Rfam family "Bacterial small subunit ribosomal RNA", at positions 38 to 536 of the family's 1533-position model. The record is from RNAcentral.
AGCGAACGCUGGCGGCAGGCUUAACACAUGCAAGUCGAGCGCCCCGCAAGGGGAGCGGCAGACGGGAGAGUAACACGUGGGAACGUACCCUUCAGUUCGGGACAACCAAGGGAAACUUUGGCUAAUACCGAAUACGUCCGUAAGGAGAAAGAUUUAUCGCUGAAGGAUCGGCCCGCGUCUGAUUAGCUAGUUGGUGGGGUAAUGGCCCACCAAGGCGACGAUCAGUAGCUGGUCUGAGAGGAUGAUCAGCCUCACUGGGACUGAGACACGGCCCAGACUCCUACGGGAGGCAGCAGUGGGGAAUAUUGGACAAUGGGCGCAAGCCUGAUCCAGCCAUGCCGCGUGGAUGAUGAAGGCCUUAGGGUUGUAAAGUCCUUUUAACGGGGAAGAUAAUGACGGUACCCGUAGAAUAAGCCCCGGCUAACUUCGUGCCAGCAGCCGCGGUAUACAAUUGUUGAUCCGCUCUAGAGUCGACCUGCAGGCAUGCAAGCUUGGCGUAAUCAUGGUCAUAGCUGUUUCCUGUGUGAAAUUGUUAUCCGCUCACAAUUCCACACAACAUACGAGCCGGAAGCAUAAAGUGUA